AUUGAACGCUGGCGGCAGGCCUAACACAUGCAAGUCGAGCGGAGCGGCGGACGGGUGAGUAAUGCCUAGGAAUCUGCCUGGUAGUGGGGGAUAACGUCCGGCAACGGGCGCUAAUACCGCAAACUAUAAGAUGAGCCUAGGUCGGAUUAGCUAGUUGGAGGGGUAAAGGCCUACCAAGGCGACGAUCCGACACUGGUCUGAGAGGAUGAUCGGUCAAACUGGAACUGAGAAACGGUCCAGACUCCAACGGGAGGCAGCAGUAGGGAAUAUUGGACAAUGGGCGAAAGCCUGAUCCAGCCAUGCCGCGUGUGUGAAGAAGGUCUUCGGAUUGUAAAGCACUUUAAGUUGGGAAGCGUUACCUACAGAAUAAGCACCGGCUAACUACGUGCCAGCCGCCGCGGUAAUAC
RNAcentral lists this ribosomal RNA (407 nucleotides) under uncultured bacterium. RNAcentral's name for it is "partial 16S ribosomal RNA". It matches the Rfam family "Bacterial small subunit ribosomal RNA", at positions 30 to 526 of the family's 1533-position model. The record is from RNAcentral.